This 504-nucleotide ribosomal RNA is filed under the name uncultured bacterium. Its description in RNAcentral is "bacterial SSU rRNA". It matches the Rfam family "Bacterial small subunit ribosomal RNA", at positions 29 to 507 of the family's 1533-position model. The record is from RNAcentral.
AACGAACGCUGGCGGCGUGCCUAACACAUGCAAGUCGUGCGAGAAAGUUCCUUCGGGAGCGAGUAAAGCGGCGCACGGGUGAGUAACACGUAGGUAACCUGCCCCCCAGUCUGGAACAACUAGAGGAAACUCUAGCUAAUGCCGGAUGAGACCACGAUCCCGUUCGGGGGUUGCGGCCAAAGAUGGCCUCUACUUGUAAGCUAUCGCUGAGGGAUGGGCCUGCGGGCCAUUAGCUUGUUGGUGAGGUAACGGCUCACCAAGGCUGUGAUGGCUAGCUGGUCUGAGAGGAUGACCAGCCACACUGGGACUGAGACACGGCCCAGACUCCUACGGGAGGCAGCAGUGGGGAAUAUUGCGCAAUGGGCGAAAGCCUGACGCAGCGACGCCGCGUGGGUGAUGAAGGCCUUCGGGUCGUAAAGCCCUGUCGCAGGGGAAGAAUAAGCAUCGGUAUAAUACGCCGGUGCCCUGACGGUACCCUGCAAGAAAGCACCGGCUAACUCCGUG